This 492-nucleotide ribosomal RNA is filed under the name uncultured bacterium. RNAcentral's name for it is "partial 16S ribosomal RNA". It matches the Rfam family "Bacterial small subunit ribosomal RNA", at positions 29 to 507 of the family's 1533-position model. The record is from RNAcentral.
AGUGAACGCUGGCGGUAGGCCUAACACAUGCAAGUCGAACGGCAGCACAGUAAGAGCUUGCUCUUACGGGUGGCGAGUGGCGGACGGGUGAGGAAUACAUCGGAAUCUACUUUUUCGUGGGGGAUAACGUAGGGAAACUUACGCUAAUACCGCAUACGACCUACGGGUGAAAGCAGGGGAUCUUCGGACCUUGCGCGAUUGAAUGAGCCGAUGUCGGAUUAGCUAGUUGGCGGGGUAAAGGCCCACCAAGGCGACGAUCCGUAGCUGGUCUGAGAGGAUGAUCAGCCACACUGGAACUGAGACACGGUCCAGACUCCUACGGGGGGCAGCGGUGGGGAAUAUUGGACGAUGGGCGCGAGCCUGAUCCAGCCAUAUCGCGUGAGUGCAGAAGGCCUUCGGGUUGUAAAGCCAUUUUGUUGGGAGAGAAAAGCAGCUGGUUAAUACCCCGCUGUUCUGACGGUACCCAAAGAAUAAGCACCGGCUAACUUCGUG